Molecule: long non-coding RNA, 840 nt
Organism: Salarias fasciatus (jewelled blenny)
Lineage: Eukaryota; Metazoa; Chordata; Actinopteri; Blenniiformes; Blenniidae
Exons: 6
Source: RefSeq, a predicted model, not a curated record
AAGAAACUGUUCAUUUGCCAUGACUGAAAACUUUGUGUGUGUGCUUCCUUGCUCCAAGACACACAUACAGCAAGGGGGAGGGGACAGCCGUCACCUGGGUUCUGCCCCAGACCUCCAAAGGAGCAGUUCUCCUGAGUCCUCCGGAAGGAAAAGGGGGCUGGUCCUGGUCCCCCAGCCGGCUAGCCGGCACUGCUGACGGCUAACAAAGGAAGGAGCCCUCCGCCCAAGGCCUAAGAAGAGGGGACACAUGCAGCAUCCAGCCUUCCCACCAAGGACCACCAGGACAGUGGCCUCAAGUGGCCGAGCUGGUCGGUGCCGACUUGGCCGGAAGCCUGUAAGCUGCUUACCAACUCGGCCAAAAGCCUUUUUUUUUUUUUUUUUAAUGGCGAUGGCGGCUCGACGUCGCUCUUUGAUCCUUGGAUGUCGGCUCUUCCUAUCAUUGUGAAGCAGAAUUCACCAAGCGCUGGAUUAUUCUCCCACUAAUAGGGAACGUGAGCUGGGAUUAGACCGUCGUGAGACAGGAGCCACCUCCACUCAGGAACCAACAACUGGAACUCCACCAUCCACCGCCACAGAGGAAUAUCAAACUACACUCAUGCGGGGUCAACGUGACUUCCUCAACCAUCGUCCACCCAGUAAGGUGUAGCUGAUGUCUGAUGUAACAUCCAUCAGCAGUGAUGGCGUCCUCAUGACCAUUAAAGGUACAGAUGGAGACGUCUUCUGGGACUAAACAUCUCCAGAUCACCUUCACCAUGGGUCACUGCUUCAUUUAAAAUCAUCUUCUCAAUUAAUACCAUCUUCUUCAUUUAGAAUUAUAUUCUUAAUUAAAAGACAUCAAUG